UACGUAGGUGGCAAGCGUUGUCCGGAUUUAUUGGGUUUAAAGGGUGCGUAGGCGGGAUGCCAAGUCAGCGGUAAAAAUGCGGUGCUCAACGCCGUCGAGCCGUUGAAACUGGCGUUCUUGAGUGGGCGAGAAGUAUGCGGAAUGCGUGGCGUAGCGGUGAAAUGCAUAGAUAUCACGCAGAACUCCGAUUGCGAAGGCAGCAUACCGGCGCCCUACUGACGCUGAGGCACGAAAGCGUGGGGAGCAAACAGG
This 252-nucleotide ribosomal RNA is filed under the name uncultured bacterium. RNAcentral describes it as "partial 16S ribosomal RNA". It matches the Rfam family "Bacterial small subunit ribosomal RNA", at positions 524 to 776 of the family's 1533-position model. The record is from RNAcentral.